UCGGAUUUGGCUCCUGGAGGUCUAUUGGGGUCCCACAAAUCUGGCAUUACAUGGGUAACUGCUGGCUUUGGCUACUGGGAGAUCAACGAGGAGAGCUGCUAACACUGGGAGGUCUUUGGAGCCUAGCAUGGUGGUGCACAUCUGUGAUCCAAGCAACUCAGGAGGCUGAGACAGGAAUAUCACGAGUUGGAGGCCAGCCUCAGCAAUUUA
RNAcentral lists this long non-coding RNA (210 nucleotides) under Ictidomys tridecemlineatus (thirteen-lined ground squirrel). RNAcentral's name for it is "lncRNA (ENSSTOG00000030980.1)". The record is from RNAcentral. Lineage: Eukaryota; Metazoa; Chordata; Mammalia; Rodentia; Sciuridae.